Molecule: ribosomal RNA, 253 nt
Filed under: uncultured bacterium
Lineage: Bacteria
Description: partial 16S ribosomal RNA
Rfam family: Bacterial small subunit ribosomal RNA
Source: RNAcentral
UACGAAGGGUGCAAGCGUUAAUCGGAAUUACUGGGCGUAAAGCGUGCGUAGGCGGUUUGUUAAGUCUGCUGUGAAAUCCCCGGGCUCAACCUGGGAACUGCAUUUGUGACUGCAUAGCUAGAGUACGGUAGAGGGGGAUGGAAUUCCGCGUGUAGCAGUGAAAUGCGUAGAUAUGCGGAGGAACACCGAUGGCGAAGGCAAUCCCCUGGACCUGUACUGACGCUCAUGCACGAAAGCGUGGGGAGCAAACAGG